RNAcentral lists this transfer RNA (76 nucleotides) under Acidobacteriota bacterium. Its description in RNAcentral is "Acidobacteria bacterium (wastewater metagenome) tRNA-Glu". It matches the Rfam family "tRNA". From Rfam's summary of the family: Transfer RNA (tRNA) molecules are approximately 80 nucleotides in length. Their secondary structure includes four short double-helical elements and three loops (D, anti-codon, and T loops). Lineage: Bacteria; Pseudomonadati; Acidobacteriota. The record is from RNAcentral.
GGGGCUAUCGUCUAGGGGUCCAGGACGCGUGGUUCUCAGCCAUGAAACCGGGGUUCGAAUCCCCGUAGCCCUGCCA